This 21-nucleotide unclassified non-coding RNA is filed under the name Mus musculus (house mouse). Its description in RNAcentral is "oocyte_clustered_small_RNA13473". The record is from RNAcentral. Lineage: Eukaryota; Metazoa; Chordata; Mammalia; Rodentia; Muridae.
UUCCCACGUCCUGCAACUUGG